GAAAGAGGAACACUCCUCCAUUGUUGGUGGGAUUGCAGACUGGUACAACCAUUCUGGAAAUCAGUCUGGAGGUUCCUCAGAAAAUUGGACAUUGAACUGCCUGAGGAUCCAGCUAUACCUCUUUUGGGCAUAUACCCAAAAGAUGCCCCAACAUAUAAAAAAGACACGUGCUCCACUAUGUUCAUCGCAGCCUUAUUUAUAAUAGCCAGAAGCUGGAAAGAACCCAGAUGCCCUUCAACAGAGUAAUGGAUACAGAAAAUGUGGUACAUCUACACAAUGGAAUAUUACUCAGCUAUCAAAAACAACGGCUUUAUG
RNAcentral lists this long non-coding RNA (315 nucleotides) under Rattus norvegicus (Norway rat). Its description in RNAcentral is "long non-coding RNA NONRATT031106". The record is from RNAcentral. Lineage: Eukaryota; Metazoa; Chordata; Mammalia; Rodentia; Muridae.